This 671-nucleotide long non-coding RNA is filed under the name Nicotiana benthamiana. Its description in RNAcentral is "long non-coding RNA (NBEN_LNC016845)". Lineage: Eukaryota; Viridiplantae; Streptophyta; Magnoliopsida; Solanales; Solanaceae. The record is from RNAcentral.
UCCACUUAUUGAUACAGAUGCCAAAUACUACAUCAAGUCAUUUCAAGUACUCAAUUUUAGAAGAAAGAAAGAGGUCCUAACUAAUAUCUACAACUGGAAAUCUAGCAACAGAAUAUGUAAGUAGUAAAGAGAAAGGGGAAGUUCAGCUUCAAGUAGCAUCUUCGUUUAACCAAACUUCAAAUCUUUUACAUGCUCAACAAUGCCUCAAUCAUGAACUACAGAAGUACCUCGAAACUUGAAAGAAAACAGGAGAGGGUAGUGAGUGUAUAAAGAAAUAGUAGCAGUAAAAAUUAGCAGCAGAACUCAACAGCAGCAAACAAAAUCCCAGAUUCAAUCAACUACAUGAGGAGAUCAACUUAAACGUCAAUGAAACAGUGACCUUCUCAAAACUUGGACCCCGGACUUUAAAGAAGAACGAAUUCAAGCCAUUUCACAUACUCAAUGAACCUAAAAUUGACUUGACAAUUUGGAAUUCAAAAAUCAAAAAUGGAAAAGCAAUGGAACAGUGAUUUUCCGUAAAUUUUAGCCAUUUUACCUUUUCUGAGUUUUUUAGCUUUUGUCCCCGUUAACUUCUUUAAAAAAGCUACAAGUAACUAUGACUUUAUAGGCAAGUCACUUGGGCAGCUCUAUGGGUUUAGUUAUUUCAUUUUAGUCCCUUUCGAAUUUUUUUU